AAAUUGAAGAGUUUGAUCAUGGCUCAGAUUGAACGCUGGCGGCAGGCCUAACACAUGCAAGUCGAGCGGUAGCACAGAGAGCUUGCUCUCGGGUGACGAGCGGCGGACGGGUGAGUAAUGUCUGGGAAACUGCCUGAUGGAGGGGGAUAACUACUGGAAACGGUAGCUAAUACCGCAUAACGUCGCAAGACCAAAGUGGGGGACCUUCGGGCCUCAUGCCAUCAGAUGUGCCCAGAUGGGAUUAGCUAGUAGGUGAGGUAACGGCUCACCUAGGCGACGAUCCCUAGCUGGUCUGAGAGGAUGACCAGCCACACUGGAACUGAGACACGGUCCAGACUCCUACGGGAGGCAGCAGUGGGGAAUAUUGCACAAUGGGCGCAAGCCUGAUGCAGCCAUGCCGCGUGUGUGAAGAAGGCCUUCGGGUUGUAAAGCACUUUCAGCGGGGAGGAAGGCGUUAAGGUUAAUAACCUUGGCGAUUGACGUUACCCGCAGAAGAAGCACCGGCUAACUCCGUGCCAGCAGCCGCGGUAAUACGGAGGGUGCAAGCGUUAAUCGGAAUUACUGGGCGUAAAGCGCACGCAGGCGGUCUGUCAAGUCGGAUGUGAAAUCCCCGGGCUUAACCUGGGAACUGCAUUCGAAACUGGCAGGCUAGAGUCUUGUAGAGGGGGGUAGAAUUCCAGGUGUAGCGGUGAAAUGCGUAGAGAUCUGGAGGAAUACCGGUGGCGAAGGCGGCCCCCUGGACAAAGACUGACGCUCAGGUGCGAAAGCGUGGGGAGCAAACAGGAUUAGAUACCCUGGUAGUCCACGCCGUAAACGAUGUCGAUUUGGAGGUUGUGCCCUUGAGGCGUGGCUUCCGGAGCUAACGCGUUAAAUCGACCGCCUGGGGAGUACGGCCGCAAGGUUAAAACUCAAAUGAAUUGACGGGGGCCCGCACAAGCGGUGGAGCAUGUGGUUUAAUUCGAUGCAACGCGAAGAACCUUACCUGGUCUUGACAUCCACAGAACUUAGCAGAGAUGCUUUGGUGCCUUCGGGAACUGUGAGACAGGUGCUGCAUGGCUGUCGUCAGCUCGUGUUGUGAAAUGUUGGGUUAAGUCCCGCAACGAGCGCAACCCUUAUCCUUUGUUGCCAGCGGUCCGGCCGGGAACUCAAAGGAGACUGCCAGUGAUAAACUGGAGGAAGGUGGGGAUGACGUCAAGUCAUCAUGGCCCUUACGACCAGGGCUACACACGUGCUACAAUGGCAUAUACAAAGAGAAGCGACCUCGCGAGAGCAAGCGGACCUCAUAAAGUAUGUCGUAGUCCGGAUUGGAGUCUGCAACUCGACUCCAUGAAGUCGGAAUCGCUAGUAAUCGUAGAUCAGAAUGCUACGGUGAAUACGUUCCCGGGCCUUGUACACACCGCCCGUCACACCAUGGGAGUGGGUUGCAAAAGAAGUAGGUAGCUUAACCUUCGGGAGGGCGCUUACCACUUUGUGAUUCAUGACUGGGGUGAAGUCGUAACAAGGUAACCGUAGGGGAACCUGCGGUUGGAUCACCUCCUUA
Molecule: ribosomal RNA, 1540 nt
Filed under: Klebsiella pneumoniae
Lineage: Bacteria; Pseudomonadati; Pseudomonadota; Gammaproteobacteria; Enterobacterales; Enterobacteriaceae
Description: bacterial SSU rRNA
Rfam family: Bacterial small subunit ribosomal RNA
Source: RNAcentral